UACGAAGGGGGCUAGCGUUGCUCGGAAUUACUGGGCGUAAAGCGCACGUAGGCGGCUUUCUAAGUCGGGGGUGAAAUCCUGGAGCUCAACUCCAGAACUGCCUUCGAUACUGGAGAGCUCGAGUCCGGGAGAGGGUGAGUGGAACUGCGAGUGUAGAGGUGAAAUUCGUAGAUAUUCGCAAGAACACCAGUGGCGAAGGCGGCUCACUGGCCCGGUACUGACGCUGAGGUGCGAAAGCGUGGGGAGCAAACAGGGAGUUAAGAA
Molecule: ribosomal RNA, 264 nt
Filed under: uncultured bacterium
Lineage: Bacteria
Description: partial 16S ribosomal RNA
Rfam family: Bacterial small subunit ribosomal RNA
Source: RNAcentral